RNAcentral lists this long non-coding RNA (898 nucleotides) under Jatropha curcas. Its description in RNAcentral is "long non-coding RNA (JCUR_LNC003379)". The record is from RNAcentral. Lineage: Eukaryota; Viridiplantae; Streptophyta; Magnoliopsida; Malpighiales; Euphorbiaceae.
UUGAUGAUACUUAAGCAGGUAGUUAGUCCUAUUUUUAGGGAGGUUCUGCCAAAAUUUCAACAGUAUCUGGAUUUAGUAUAUUUAACAAAAGCAUUUUUAGAUUUAAUCAAGAUAAUUCCUUAUUCUUAUUUGAAAGGAAUUCUUUAUUUUAUUCUUUUGUCCCUUUCAAUUUUAUUUCUUAUAGAUUGUCCAAACUCGUCCUUUACUUUAUGAAUCAGAAACAAAACUAGAGUUCUUUUUCUCUCCUCUAUUACUAUAGCAGUAAUAAGUAGUGGAUUAUCAUUUACUUCAUAUAUACAUACAUUACUAUAUAAUGUUACAAUUUCCUACUUAUUUAAUUAUUAUUAUUAUUUUUUAGCAUAAACAUCCAUUAUUUUAUACUUGGUUUAUAUAUGUAUAUAUUUAAAUAUUUACAUAACAAUGUUUGUUUAUUUAAUGUGCUUGCAUUUAAAUGUAAUGUUUGAUUAGAUGUGUUUUGAUGAUGAUAUGUCUUGUUUGCGUGGAAUUGAGAUGAAGUGGGUCACCAUGGGUUUGUAAGGGUGGUCUUCGAUACCGUUGACCAUGUAUGGAGAGAUCGGCGUCCCCGUGUGCAUCUAAUGAUAUAUGAUAUAGAAAACCACAGGGUGGGCGUCUGUUGGUAUGGAAAAGAGAGUAUAAAAAAAUGAGAGGGCUGGUCAAGAGAUUAGACCGGUCGGCCAUGUAUGGGGAAUUGGUUCCCUGGUGCACACGUCAUGAGAGGAUUGACCAUGUGUAAGGACGACUCAUUGGGGGUUUCGGUGAUGCCACAAACCAAUUUCCACUUGUUUGAUUAUAUGAAGGUGUACUUGUAUGUGGGUGCUGAUGUUAUGCCAUACGUUUGAAUGGAUGAGUAUUCAUUUUAGUAUUUUAUGAAGCAUUU